RNAcentral lists this ribosomal RNA (793 nucleotides) under Micrococcus luteus. Its description in RNAcentral is "bacterial SSU rRNA". It matches the Rfam family "Bacterial small subunit ribosomal RNA", at positions 58 to 862 of the family's 1533-position model. The record is from RNAcentral. Lineage: Bacteria; Bacillati; Actinomycetota; Actinomycetes; Micrococcales; Micrococcaceae.
CAAGUCGAACGAUGAAGCCCAGCUUGCUGGGUGGAUUAGUGGCGAACGGGUGAGUAACACGUGAGUAACCUGCCCUUAACUCUGGGAUAAGCCUGGGAAACUGGGUCUAAUACCGGAUAGGAGCGUCCACCGCAUGGUGGGUGUUGGAAAGAUUUAUCGGUUUUGGAUGGACUCGCGGCCUAUCAGCUUGUUGGUGAGGUAAUGGCUCACCAAGGCGACGACGGGUAGCCGGCCUGAGAGGGUGACCGGCCACACUGGGACUGAGACACGGCCCAGACUCCUACGGGAGGCAGCAGUGGGGAAUAUUGCACAAUGGGCGAAAGCCUGAUGCAGCGACGCCGCGUGAGGGAUGACGGCCUUCGGGUUGUAAACCUCUUUCAGUAGGGAAGAAGCGAAAGUGACGGUACCUGCAGAAGAAGCACCGGCUAACUACGUGCCAGCAGCCGCGGUAAUACGUAGGGUGCGAGCGUUAUCCGGAAUUAUUGGGCGUAAAGAGCUCGUAGGCGGUUUGUCGCGUCUGUCGUGAAAGUCCGGGGCUUAACCCCGGAUCUGCGGUGGGUACGGGCAGACUAGAGUGCAGUAGGGGAGACUGGAAUUCCUGGUGUAGCGGUGGAAUGCGCAGAUAUCAGGAGGAACACCGAUGGCGAAGGCAGGUCUCUGGGCUGUAACUGACGCUGAGGAGCGAAAGCAUGGGGAGCGAACAGGAUUAGAUACCCUGGUAGUCCAUGCCGUAAACGUUGGGCACUAGGUGUGGGGACCAUUCCACGGUUUCCGCGCCGCAGCUAACGCAUUA